UACGGAGGCAGCAGUGAGGAAUAUUGGUCAAUGGGCGCGAGCCUGAACCAGCCAAGUAGCGUGCAGGAUGACGGCCCUACGGGUUGUAAACUGCUUUUAUGCGGGGAUAAAGUGCGGCACGUGUGCCGUUUUGCAGGUACCGCAUGAAUAAGGACCGGCUAAUUCCGUGCCAGCAGCCGCGGUAAU
This 186-nucleotide ribosomal RNA is filed under the name uncultured rumen bacterium. RNAcentral's name for it is "partial 16S ribosomal RNA". It matches the Rfam family "Bacterial small subunit ribosomal RNA", at positions 340 to 524 of the family's 1533-position model. The record is from RNAcentral.